UCUUGCUCACUGCUGCUGUGAUUCUUACUUAAGGUUGUAUCUUGGUUUAAGGUUGUCUCUGUGUAGCUGAGGACUGAAGAAUUGAUGCUUUUGAACUGUGGUGUUGGAGAGGACUCUUGAGAGUGCCUUGGACAGCAAGGAGAUCCAACCAGUCCUUCCUAAAGGAGAUUAAUCCUGGGUGUUCAUUGGAAGGACUGAUGCUGAAGCUGAAACUCCAUUACUCUGGCCAUCCGAUGCAAAGAGCCGACUCAUUAGAAAAGACCCUGAUGCUGGGAAAGAUUGAAGGCAGGAGGAGAAGGAGACGACAGAGGAUGAGAUGGUUGGAUGGCAUCACCAAUUCAAUGGACAUGAGUUGAGCAAUCUCUGGGAGCUGGUGAUGGACAGGGAAGCCUGGCAUGCUGCAAUCCAUGGGGUUUCGAAGAGUUGGACACUACUGAGCGACUGAACUGAACUGUGUAGCAAUAUCAGGCCUUUCUGGCCAAGGCUGUCAUGGUGCCAGAGGUCCCUGGCGAGUCCUCUUUCUCAAGCUACAGGCGAGAGUCUGUUUGCUUAGCUGGUCAGAAGAGGGUCAUGUCGAUUCAAAAUGAUGAGAGAGGGAGCUUCCCCAUCACCGAUGCCAACUUGAAACUUGAACCUCAACUAAUACAGACGUUGUAAAGCUGGUGAUUCAGGCAGAGAAACCACAUGAGGCAUACAGGGCACAGUGCAGGAUGGAAGGAGGCUUCAAAAAUGGGAAAGGUAGGAAGUGAAGCCCCAGGGGCAGGUGGACUCUUGUCUAGGUGUGACAGGCCAGGCAUGGGAACCUUGUUCUAAACCCCCAAAUGAGCCACUGCGUCUAUGACCAGUCUGUGAUCUGAUUUCAGAUUUCAUCUAUAGGUGUCCCAUUGGGUUUUCACAGGGAGAAUGCACAGGGUGUGUGUGUGUGUGUGUGUGUGUGUAUGUGUGUGUGUGUUACUGCCCAUGUGUUCUUGAACGUGUAUGUUUGUGAGUGGGGGCAUGUGCAUU
Long non-coding RNA from Bos indicus x Bos taurus (hybrid cattle), 1005 nucleotides. The record is from Ensembl. Lineage: Eukaryota; Metazoa; Chordata; Mammalia; Artiodactyla; Bovidae.